This 491-nucleotide ribosomal RNA is filed under the name uncultured bacterium. Its description in RNAcentral is "partial 16S ribosomal RNA". It matches the Rfam family "Bacterial small subunit ribosomal RNA", at positions 29 to 506 of the family's 1533-position model. The record is from RNAcentral.
AGUGAACGCUGGCGGUAGGCCUAACACAUGCAAGUCGAACGGCAGCACAGUAAGAGCUUGCUCUUACGGGUGGCGAGUGGCGGACGGGUGAGGAAUACAUCGGAAUCUACUUUUUCGUGGGGGAUAACGUAGGGAAACUUACGCUAAUACCGCAUACGACCUACGGGUGAAAGCAGGGGAUCUUCGGACCUUGCGCGAUUGAAUGAGCCGAUGUCGGAUUAGCUAGUUGGCGGGGUAAAGGCCCACCAAGGCGACGAUCCGUAGCUGGUCUGAGAGGAUGAUCAGCCACACUGGAACUGAGACACGGUCCAGACUCCUACGGGAGGCAGCAGUGGGGAAUAUUGGACAAUGGGCGCAAGCCUGAUCCAGCCAUACCGCGUGGGUGAAGAAGGCCUUCGGGUUGUAAAGCCCUUUUGUUGGGAAAGAAAAGCAGCAGGUUAAGACCCCGCUGUUCGGACGGGACCCAAAGAAGAAGCACCGGCUAACUUCGU